RNAcentral lists this non-coding RNA (175 nucleotides) under Anaerotruncus rubiinfantis. RNAcentral describes it as "Lysine riboswitch". It matches the Rfam family "Lysine riboswitch aptamer". From Rfam's summary of the family: Riboswitches are metabolite binding domains within certain messenger RNAs that serve as precision sensors for their corresponding targets. Allosteric rearrangement of mRNA structure is mediated by ligand binding, and this results in modulation of gene expression. Lineage: Bacteria; Bacillati; Bacillota; Clostridia; Eubacteriales; Oscillospiraceae. The record is from RNAcentral.
ACCGGUAGAGGCGCGUCUUUCAUCAGUAACAGGGACUUCAGACUGCCAGGUCGUAAAAAGCCGUGUGAAAGGGUCAGACGCCGAAGGUUGGCGCCGUUGGCGGGCGUACUUCCUGGGCACACAGUCGAAAAGGCGUGUGACUGUCAUCAUUGGACUAUGAUGGAGGGCUAUGGGU